CACAUGCAAGUCGAGCGGGGAAAAGUAGCUUGCUACUUGACCUAGCGGCGGACGGGUGAGUAAUGUAAUGGAAUCUGCCUAUUAGUGGGGGACAACAUCUCGAAAGGGAUGCUAAUACCGCAUACGUCCUACGGGAGAAAGCAGGGGACCUUCGGGCCUUGCGCUAAUAGAUGAGCCUAAGUCGGAUUAGCUAGUUGGUGGGGUAAAGGCCUACCAAGGCGACGAUCUGUAGCGGGUCUGAGAGGAUGAUCCGCCACACUGGGACUGAGACACGGCCCAGACUCCUACGGGAGGCAGCAGUGGGGAAUAUUGGACAAUGGGGGGAACCCUGAUCCAGCCAUGCCGCGUGUGUGAAGAAGGCCUUUUGGUUGUAAAGCACUUUAAGCGAGGAGGAGGCUACCGAGAUUAAUACUCUUGGAUAGUGGACGUUACUCGCAGAAUAAGCACCGGCUAACUCUGUGCCAGCAGCCGCGGUAAUACAGAGGGUGCAAGCGUUAAUCGGAUUUACUGGGCGUAAAGCGCGCGUAGGUGGCCAAUUAAGUCAAAUGUGAAAUCCCCGAGCUUAACUUGGGAAUUGCAUUCGAUACUGGUUGGCUAGAGUAUGGGAGAGGAUGGUAGAAUUCCAGGUGUAGCGGUGAAAUGCGUAGAGAUCUGGAGGAAUACCGAUGGCGAAGGCAGCCAUCUGGCCUAAUACUGACACUGAGGUGCGAAAGCAUGGGGAGCAAACAGGAUUAGAUACCCUGGUAGUCCAUGCCGUAAACGAUGUCUACUAGCCGUUGGGGCCUUUGAGGCUUUAGUGGCGCAGCUAACGCGAUAAGUAGACCGCCUGGGGAGUACGGUCGCAAGACUAAAACUCAAAUGAAUUGACGGGGGCCCGCACAAGCGGUGGAGCAUGUGGUUUAAUUCGAUGCAACGCGAAGAACCUUACCUGGUCUUGACAUAGUAAGAACUUUCCAGAGAUGGAUUGGUGCCUUUGGGAACUUACAUACAGGUGCUGCAUGGC
RNAcentral lists this ribosomal RNA (1003 nucleotides) under Acinetobacter sp. 3_64. RNAcentral's name for it is "bacterial SSU rRNA". It matches the Rfam family "Bacterial small subunit ribosomal RNA", at positions 52 to 1049 of the family's 1533-position model. The record is from RNAcentral. Lineage: Bacteria; Pseudomonadati; Pseudomonadota; Gammaproteobacteria; Moraxellales; Moraxellaceae.